GAUGAACGCUGGCGGCGUGCCUAAUACAUGCAAGUCGAGCGAACAGACGAGGAUCUUGCUCCUCUGACGUUAGCGGCGGACGGGUGAGUAACACGUGGAUAACCUACCUAUAAGACUGGGAUAACUUCGGGAAACCGGAGCUAAUACCGGAUAAUAUAUUGAACCGCAUGGUUCAAUAGUGAAAGACGGUUUUGCUGUCACUUAUAGAUGGAUCCGCGCCGCAUUAGCUAGUUGGUAAGGUAACGGCUUACCAAGGCAACGAUGCGUAGCCGACCUGAGAGGGUGAUCGGCCACACUGGAACUGAGACACGGUCCAGACUCCUACGGGAGGCAGCAGUAGGGAAUAUUCCGCAAUGGGCGAAAGCCUGACGGAGCAACGCCGCGUGAGUGAUGAAGGUCUUCGGAUCGUAAAACUCUGUUAUUAGGGAAGAACAAAUGUGUAAGUAACUAUGCACGUCUUGACGGUACCUAAUCAGAAAGCAACGGCUAACUACGUG
RNAcentral lists this ribosomal RNA (497 nucleotides) under uncultured bacterium. RNAcentral describes it as "partial 16S ribosomal RNA". It matches the Rfam family "Bacterial small subunit ribosomal RNA", at positions 28 to 507 of the family's 1533-position model. The record is from RNAcentral.